GCGCAGCAGGCGAGAAUUUUUCUCAAUGGGGGAGACCCUGAAGGAGCGACGCCGCGUGGAGGAUGAAGGCUUUCGGGUUGUAAACUCCUGUCAUUUGAGAACAAGUGGCCGAACGUAACUACUUCGGCCUUGAUAGUAUCAGAAGAGGAAGGGACGGCUAACUCUGUGCCAGCAGCCGCGGUAAUACAGAGGUCUCAAGCGUUGUUCGGAUUCAUUGGGCGUAAGGGUGCGUAGGUGGCGCCGUAAGUCGGGUGUGAAAUUUCGGAGCUUAACUCCGAAACUGCAUUCGAUACUGCGGUGCUUGAGGGCUGGAGAGGAGACUGGAAUUUACGGUGUAGCAGUGAAAUGCGUAGAGAUCGUAAGGAAGACCAGUGGCGAAGGCGGGUCUCUGGACAGUUCCUGACACUGAGGCACGAAGGCCAGGGGAGCAAACGGGAUUAGAUACCCCU
RNAcentral lists this ribosomal RNA (449 nucleotides) under uncultured organism. RNAcentral describes it as "bacterial SSU rRNA". It matches the Rfam family "Bacterial small subunit ribosomal RNA", at positions 346 to 789 of the family's 1533-position model. The record is from RNAcentral.